GAUUUCUUCGGAUUGAAGCCUUGGUGACUGAGCGGCGGACGGGUGAGUAACGCGUGGGUAACCUGCCUCAUACAGGGGGAUAACAGUUGGAAACGGCUGCUAAUACCGCAUAAGACCACAGCACCGCAUGGUGCAGGGGUAAAAACUCCGGUGGUACAGGAUGGACCCGCGUCUGAUUAGCUGGUUGGUGAGGUAACGGCUCACCAAGGCGACGAUCAGUAGCCGGCUUGAGAGAGUGAACGGCCACAUUGGGACUGAGACACGGCCCAAACUCCUACGGGAGGCAGCAGUGGGGAAUAUUGCACAAUGGGGGAAACCCUGAUGCAGCGACGCCGCGUGAGUGAAGAAGUAUCUCGGUAUGUAAAGCUCUAUCAGCAGGGAAGAAAAUGACGGUACCUGACUAAGAAGCCCCGGCUAACUACGUGCCAGCAGCCGCGGUAAUACGUAGGGGGCAAGCGUUAUCCGGAUUUACUGGGUGUAAAGGGAGCGUAGACGGAAGAGCAAGUCUGAUGUGAAAGGCUGGGGCUUAACCCCAGGACUGCAUUGGAAACUGUUGUUCUAGAGUGCCGGAGAGGUAAGUGGAAUUCCUAGUGUAGCGGUGAAAUGCGUAGAUAUUAGGAGGAACACCAGUGGCGAAGGCGGCUUACUGG
Molecule: ribosomal RNA, 650 nt
Filed under: uncultured Lachnospiraceae bacterium
Lineage: Bacteria; Bacillati; Bacillota; Clostridia; Lachnospirales; Lachnospiraceae
Description: bacterial SSU rRNA
Rfam family: Bacterial small subunit ribosomal RNA
Source: RNAcentral